Long non-coding RNA from Malaya genurostris, 2395 nucleotides. RefSeq lists it as uncharacterized. The transcript has 3 exons. The record is from RefSeq and is a predicted model, not a curated record. Lineage: Eukaryota; Metazoa; Arthropoda; Insecta; Diptera; Culicidae.
UUCUUUUCUACAGUUUUCUUUGCAGUCCUAACAACUUUGCGUCAGUUUAUAAUUGAAGUUCGUAGAAAAGUCAGUAUAGGGUUGUUAGUUUGAGUCAUUAUUGUAGGUUUUUAGUAAAGUUUUAAAGAAGGUUACUCUGGGAUCAAUCCGGAACCAUCCAACCGUGACGACGCGUGCCGGGUGAAAACACUUCUCAUGUUUUGCCACAUCGAAAACCGAACGUAGUGUUUUCCGGCGUACGGUCGCCAUUAUAUCCGUAAAUAAUUUCUGCAUUAACGUUGCCACAGAAGUCGUCACUUGGCCGGAAAUGUCGCACCAAGUGAGUGUGGCUUUCGAGCCGUUGUCGACCGGCGACCGUCGACCAGGAGUGGCAGAGUUGAAAGAUUAAUGGCCAAUUUAUGGAGAUGGAAUUAACUGCAUCUUUGUGAACACGGAUUAAUAAUGAGGAUGUGUUAGAUAUAAAAGUGAAUGGAACAAACCGAUAGAAUUUUAUCUUCGUAGCAACCUCGAACAUCUCACCAAUAUUAUGCAUGCUCCGAAAAAAAGGGUAACCAGUCGUCAAUACAAUUGAUACAAGCCAUAUGGCCAACCCGCCCUUCCACAGUCGAUCAAUUUAUUUAUCAACAAAGAUAAUCCAAUUUAUUUUAAUGUUUCUUAAUGCACCACUCGGUGACACGACUUAAGUGCGCUUUCUUCACUCGAAACCAGUACAACAAUUCAGUCUAGCGAUAACCACCCUCUCUGAUUUUAUUUUAAUACACUUGUUCCUGGUUAUUAUCAUCAUCGUCACAACAAUACUGCAGUCAGACGACCUCGUCCCCUACUCGAUAGGGUAGCAGUAUCGGUUUACAGUUUGCUAAGGGGAAAUUCCCUAACCGAAGAUGGGAGCCGAAGUCACCCCCCGAUGAAGUACCGAUGUUAUCAAUCUUGUUUUCCCCGGAGACAAUCACCGAUUCGAAGAGGAACUUCGCGUUCGCAGCAACUAAUGGAACUGUUUUGCCGUUGCCCUUUUCGGUGCAUGGAUUUCCAGCACGAAAAAGGGGACAAUACAGGAAUGCCAAACUGAGUCACAGCAGCCGGCAAUGGACGACAGAUAAACAGAUUCAUUCGCCUGGAAUUGGCUUGUGUCACGAAUUAAGCAAUUAUAAAGCGUGAUUGUGGGUGGUGGUUUUGCGAUGAAUUAUGAUUGGCAUCUUAAUCGAGGGUUGGCCGUAGUAGGAAGAUUGCGGUUCGUGGGCUCAAGAUGAUCAUCUGUUGCAAUUUUCACCUUUCGUUACGCUAACUUACCUAGCAUUUUUUGAAACUUCGAAUAAUAAUCUCUAGAAUUAGCAUUUUCCGACUACCGAACCAGAAACUUUUUAUUCCUGAACUUGUUUCCAAGGUAAAAUCCGAUUUAAAUGAGUAUAGUAGCAAUGUGACCUGGUAGGAUGUACUGCGUUUCAAAAUGCCCGAACUAAGUCAAAUAGGAGUUCAGCGGCAAACGAAUAUACUGUUGCAGUAAAACGACGCAUUGGAAAACAAAAAAAAAUCCCAUUUCAAUAAUAAUUCAAUGCGAAAAUUUUGAAAACUGAGGUCGCAAACAGCUCUUAGUAUAACGAUGUUCAAUAAUCUUCCUUUUCUGACAAAAUUAUGAAUUACAGUGAGAGUCUUCGCGGAAUGUGCCUUGGACUCUUGUAUGAAAAACAAAGUAAUCACUAAUUACCUAUAUUAUGAACUUAGUAAAUAACCUUAACAGCAACUUUUAAACCUUCUUGGUCUUGGACUUCUAAAACUUACGCAGUCAGAUAUCAAGAAACUUUUUCAGCGUGUCUACCUCUUCUAUAGUCACUCGUUUGAGCCAAACUUAUGAGACCGUAACUCUGGAGUCGACCUGCUUCAAUCAACCUAGUGGUGAUGCCGUUUUUUUACGUUUAUUCGAGAAAUCGAUGUAGUUUAUAUGUUGUAAAUUUUUGACCUCCGUUUCCGGUAUUUCCAAAAUCAGAAAUCGAAGACCGACUUUACUGUAAAAAGUUUGCUUUGCCAGCAAAUAUCAAGACCACAUCGUGUUUUAUUUCUGUCUAGUCACAUACAUAAGGGUUUGAUGUUUAAAAACGUGCCUAAUCCGCCCAGCAGUGAGAUGAUACUUUUUUUAUCCAUCCGCAUUCUUCGGUGUUUUUAGUAAUCAUAUAAACAUUUUAAUGACCGUCGUUUUAAGUGACAGUUUAAAAUUUCAAUCACUCACUACCCUGUAAUUUCGGUACUGCAAACUGCAAGUCGGAUCGACAACAGAAAUAGAACAAAACCAUUAAACCAAAAAGCAUUCUAUGAGAUGUUGAAGUGAGUUCCUUUUUAGGGUUUUGGUCAUUAUUUACGGUAUCCGGCAUAACCAAAAACGGUUCGUAUGGCCAUGAAUUAA